This is a microRNA precursor of Hucho hucho (huchen), 57 nucleotides long. The record is from Ensembl. NCBI's taxonomy places the organism in Eukaryota, Metazoa, Chordata, Actinopteri, Salmoniformes, Salmonidae.
GGAUAUCAUCAUAUACUGUAAGUUCGUUAUGGUGACACUACAGUAUAGAUGAUGUAC